GUUGAGCUGUUAUGCCGAAAAAUAACUUGGGCAGUGAUUAGAAAGAGAGAGGCUUGAGUGGGAACCCUAAUUCCAUUAUUGAAGAAGGUGCCGCCAUCUCCUUGCUUCAAAGGUUUCGGCUUUGGUAUCUCAUCUUCACAAAUUGAAUUUGGUUUUCCUCAGUGACGGCUUUCAAAAUUUACACUUGAUAUGAGCCCUUUUCUUUCUUCCUUUCUUUUUUUACUCUCUCCUUCCCCCAUUAUUAUUUUUUUCUGUAAAUCUAUUUUAUUUUUUUACUUUAAUCAACAUUUGCAUUCAAUAUUUUUCAUUUAACCAGAUUCUGUUCUUCUGUUCUUCUUUUAGGUCUGAAUAUUAAAGGUAUUGAAGUUUUGUUUUGUUUUUCUUUUAAGAUUUUUUUAUUGUCUUUGAAGUUCCUUUAUUUCGUCUUUAAAGCUCAUUUUCUGUGUGUUUGAAAAUUUUAAUUGCAUUCAAGUUUUGCCUUUUUCUUCAGUAAAAUUUGUGUUUCAGAAGAUUUUUCUCCUUCAUUCACACUAAAUAUAGACUCUUCUUUUAUCUAAACAGCUUUUUCGUUCAUUUUUUUGUUCUUUUAAUUAACAUUUCUUCAAUUCUUAAACAUCUUUUUGUCUAUUUUUGUAGAUUUUGUUUGAUGCGAACCAUUAUUUCCUAUAUGUUUAAUAUCUUAUUUAUUUUAGUAAAUUAGGUUUAAUUUUGUCUUUUUGUCAUCUAAGUUCUUAUGGAAGAUAAAUCAGUCUAUAUAAGGUGUCGAGUUAGCACUGAGUGUCAGCAGCAUAACUCAAAUCAUUGUAAAAUAUUUAAUUUAAUUUCAAAUUUUGUUAUUUUGUUUUUAAUUUUAGAUACAAAUUAUAUCACUAUUUUUAAAAUUAAAAGAAAAUUCAUCAUUAUUUUUAAAAUUAAAAAAAAAUCAUAAUUAUUUUUAAAAUUAGAAGACAAAUCAUCAUUAUUUUUAAAAUUAGAAUUAAAAUCAUUAUUAUUUUUAAAAUUAUAAGAAAAAUUCAAAAAUUAGAAGGAAAGUUUUAAUUUAUUUUUAAAAUUAAAAGUAAAAUUCUAAUUUAUUUUUAAAAUUAAAAAGAAAAUUCUUUAUUAAUUUUAAAAUUAGAAGAAUUUUUUUCAUUAUUUUUAAAUCAACUUUAACUCUAUUUUUUACUAAUAAAAAUUUAAACAUAAAUAUAAUAAUUAUAUUCCAAUAAUAUAAUUAGAAUUAAUUUAAAAAUAAUUAAAUAAAUAUUUAAUAAAAUUUAAAUUUGGUUUCAAUUUAAAAAGAUAUACAAUUGAGACUAAAUUGAUUAAAAUUAACAAAAAUUGAGAUUAAAUUAAAUAAAAUUAAUGAAAAUUAAAAUUGAAUGACAUAUUUAUACGUGGUAUUGACAUGUGACAUUAACACAUGGUAUAAAGAAGCCUUACAUCCGAACCCCCAACACGUGAGAGCUCUAGUACCAUCGUUUCUCGGUGUAAGGAAGUCGCAUUCCCCCAUAGAAGCCUUUUCCUAAUCUAAAAUCCUACUUUUGGGUGGGGAAGGGGUUGCCAUGUGGCAGUCCCUAAUUGACUGAUUUUAUCUGAUAAAAUAACCAAAUUCUGGUCAACUAAGGAACUAAAUUACAAUUAGAAAAAAAAAGAAAUUAAGGGAACUUUUAGGAGCUUUUAUGUAAUUUUGAAAACUUAAGAAGGACAUUAAUGAAAUAGAUAAUUCAGUUGAUAUUUUUAAGAUAAUUAAUUUAAUAUGAAAAUAUACCAACAGAAAAUGUCUUAUCAACAUAAUACUUAGAGUCCAAGUCCAAUAAAGUUUAUAUAAAGAGACUUAGGGGAGGAAGAAAUCAUAACUCAUUCAUUCACUCAGACUCUUCCAAUGGAAGCCAUCAUUCACCACUCCUCUCACUUUUAUUUUAUCAUGUAUUAUACUCCAUUCAUGGAGGGCUAAGCUUUUAAGGCUACUCCAUUGUAAUUUCAUUAUGGAUUCCGAGGUUAAGUUGAAUUAAUGAAUUUGUUUCUUAUGAUUAUUGAUUUUAGUUAUUCUUCUUCUAUGUCUUUCAUCUCUCAAUAAUGUUAAAAGUAAUUAUUUUUGCAUCAUAAGGUGUUUGAAUCUACAUGCAUGUUAAUCAUAUGAGUUCAAGGUUUUCUAUGUUUUAAUGAUAAUUUACUUUGAUUGAGUUUAGGAACCUUCAUAUGAUUAAACGUGUUCUUACUACUAAUUAAUAAUGUACUUUGAUUGGUGGUAAGAUUUUCAACUGUAAUUAAUUGAGAAUUUACUUUGAUUAAAUAUAUUUUAAUUUGGUCAAGGGAUAUAAGAAUAGACAUGAUUAAAUACAAUAGGAUUUGACUGAGAAUGUAUUUUGAUUGAAUUCAUUGUGAAUAAUAUAGGAAGGUCUUACAUUUGAUUGAGAAUCUACUUUGGUUAAUUGUAUGAUCGCCCUCAAGUGAGAAUAUACUUUAAUUAAUUUGAAACUCAAACAAUAAUCAAUUGAACAAUGAUUUGUGGAUAAUCGAUGAUGAAUCUAUCUUGGAAAAAUAGUGGAAUUAGUCUAUUUUAUUAUAGUUGCUUCAAAGUUUCUCAUUUGUUCUUCACUUAAACUCACAACAUUCUUGAACAUCAAGUUCAUUAGGCUAUAUUUUCAUUCUUAUUUUUAAGCAUUGCAUAGCAUUCACUAACUUUUUCAAAGCCUUCGUAAGAGUCAAAUAUUGAAAAGCAAUUACGUGUUCGUUGGGAAACGACUUAGGGUUACUUUAACCCUAUCCACUUUCUUGAUUACUAACAUGGCAAUACUGAAGUUACCGUGUAAAGUAGUUGUUAGAAGUGGACUUUAAGCCUAACCCAACCUCACAAACCAAUUUGUAAGGUGAGGUUUGCACCCACUUAUAUGCUAUGAAUUGGCCUUAUCUCUAGUCGAUGUGAGACUUCUAACACACCCCCUUCACAUCGAGGUAUAUACAUCUCAAGCGUGGGACUAGACAUUAAUGGGUGGUCCAAUAACGGCCCGAUAGCGGGUGGAACAAUAUGCCUAACAAACAACAAAUAUCGCUAGGAUAGGCUUUAACGACGACUCUGAUACCAUGUUAGAAGUGGACUUUAAGCCUUACUCAACCACACAAAACCAGCUUGUAAGGUGGGGUUUACACCCACUUAUAUAUUAUGAACUGACCUUAUCUCUAUUCGAUGUGGGACUUCCAACAAUAGUAUUAAUUUGGUAGCUUCAACAACAGCGUAUACUCUCUUGCUCAGUUAACGACGGGCUGACACCUAAAACAUCCUCUGCUCACACUAAACGAUGAUGAUUGCCAAAGAGAUUAUAGCACAAAGAGGCAUACAACACAAAAGUAAGGGUAAACUAGUAUACAAAUAAAUCAACAUAUUACAAUUUGAUAUGGGAAAUCAUAUCUCAACAUUCACAACAACUCAUCACACACUUAAUCAUAUCACAACUUAACUAAGGAUGACAACGGGUCGGGUCAGGCACGGAUAAUGCCUACCUGCAACCCGACCCGCUACUCGCACAGAUACCCGUAAAAAAUAUCCGCGGGUAUUUUAAAAUUCACGGAUACCCGCGGAUAUUCGUGAAUACCCGCAAAUAUUAAAAAAAAAUAUUUGUUUAUAAGUUAUUAAAAUAAAAUUUAAAUAGAAUUAUAAAAAAUAUAUAAAAUAUAAUAUAAAUAAUAUUAAAUAUAAAUUAAAUUCAAUUUUAAUUAAAUUUAACCUUGUAAAAUAUAAAUUAAUGUUAAUUUUAAUUAAAUUUAACUUAAUAAAAUAUAAAUUAAAUCUUUAUUUUUAUUUUUUGCGGGUAGCGGAUAUCUCGGGUACGAAUAGCAUAAUACACACCCGACCCGUUUAUAAGCAAGUAUUAAAAUAUCCGCUACCCACAGGUUGCGGGUAGUAAAUAUCCAUGGGUAUCAACUAUCCGUCGCAGAUUUUAUCUGCGGAUAUCAACGAGUGCAGAUUUUUUUGCACCCAUGCUAGUAUUUAUACUCUGUAGAGUCAUAAAUGAGGGUCAAAUGACCUACUUCCCCAUGAGUUUAGUCUUCCCUUACACGACAAAGGGCUAGGGUAAAAACCUCCUAUCAUUUUCUCCAUCACCCCAUUCACUCUACAUGAGUUGAAUGAUUAGUAGAAUAUCAGGAUAUUUUCUCUUCAAAGUCUCACUAUUAAGCAGUCACCACAACUCUCAUAUAAUCAUUCCUUAAGAUUCCUCUCACAUCACCCAUCUAUCAUUCUCACAACAUACUCAUCAUCAUCAUAUUCAUCAACCAUAAACAUACCCAUAAACAGGUUCACAAAUCAUAAAUAUAUGUAUACACAUCUCCAUUAAUCACCUCAUAAUCAUCAUCAUUAUCAUCACAUACUCAAGGUGUUCCAAGUAUAAAAUCAUUUAUAAAAAUUUGGAAAUAAUAAUUACACAAUAGUACAUUUUUCUUCAUGGUAGCUUGAGUCCCACACUAGACAUGAAAAAUAGCCUUAAAACCCUCACCAAAAGCUCUGGAAGGGUCUAAAACCCCCAAAACGACCUAAAGAACGUCCAAAACGAAUGUCUGAAACCCUAAAUUCGAGAUUCCCCACAACAUAGUUUCUGUUAGACAACUCCGCACCAGACUACUUACUAGUCAAUCUUUUACCAGAUGACCCCUUAUUAGACGAUCUCUUACCAGACUACUCCUUGCUAAACGAUCUCUUACCAGACGACUCCUUAUUAGACGACUCUUACCAAUACGAUCUCUUACUAGACGACCCCUUACUAGAUGCUCUCUUACCCAGACAAUCUACCAUAUUUUUGUACAAUAAAAGACCAAAUAGGCGCUAAAUGAGCCCAAGACAAUUCCAAAAACUGUAAACUUCCCCUUAAACCAUGAUCUCAUAUUCUUACUUGUUAAAAACUCAAUUUUUUUGUCCAAAACUCACCCUUUUACUACUUUAUUUCUUACCCAAGUUCUGUAAAAACAUAUCAGCUCAAACUCACUAAAUCCACAUUCACAAAUCCAUCAAUAAACAAAUUUUAACAACAAUAAACCAAACACCCCAACAUACAUUAGUUCUCAAUUUAAUUAAACCCUAAACCCUAAACCCAACAUACCAAAUUUCACGAUUUAAUUAAAGUUCAUAAAUCAAUCAUCACAUCAUCAUACAAACAUCAAAUAUCACAUGCAUAACAAAUCCAAAACCAAACAAACUAGCUUCCCUUAUAUAGUUGAUGCUUUGAUAGUUUCAAGAACUCUAAAAUUUCUCCUACGACUUCAAUAUCUAUAUUUGCCCCUACAAUUCAUGGCAAUUUGAUCAAAGUAUACCCUUAAUAACACUAAUCAACAAAGAGUCUUGAAGAAGACUUAGACAUAAAAAAAG
Molecule: long non-coding RNA, 5341 nt
Filed under: Vigna radiata
Lineage: Eukaryota; Viridiplantae; Streptophyta; Magnoliopsida; Fabales; Fabaceae
Description: long non-coding RNA (VRAD_LNC002982)
Source: RNAcentral